Malania oleifera is the source of this 1060-nucleotide long non-coding RNA. RefSeq lists it as uncharacterized. The transcript is spliced from 5 exons. Lineage: Eukaryota; Viridiplantae; Streptophyta; Magnoliopsida; Santalales; Ximeniaceae. The record is from RefSeq and is a predicted model, not a curated record.
GCACUCUUCUCUCUCUUCUCUCUCUCUCUCUCUCUCUCUCUCUCUCUCUCUCUCUCUCUCUCUCUCUCUCUCUCUCUCCUACGACUCUCUCUCUCUUCGAUUUCAGGCUCGUUUUAUGCCAGAUCGACAAACUGAAGCCAUCACGAUGCUCCUGGCAAAGUUCUCUACAAGUCUGUCGGAGCGGAUCGUCAGGGAAACGAAGUUGGAUUUCAUCCCAAAUCCAAGUUUCAGGGUAUUGAUUGGGAAAGUUGGGAAUUAUCCCUAAGUUGAGGGUGUUAAGUUAAGAACCUUGUGGGUACGGGGAAGAUUUUCUUAGGGGCUUUUCAGGAAUCAGGAGCCCCUAAUAGGAGAGCGGGAAAAGCCUUGCUGAUCUAGAGCAGUUGUUUGCCCUCUUUGGAAGGGUAAGUUUUUGGUAGGGACAGUUAGGUUUUGUGGGGAUUGUCCCUAGAUUUCAUUUUUGAGAUGUAUAUACUGUGAGAUAGUAAUUGUAGUGACUCUGGUAUGUGUUAUGCACAUUAUGAUGAGAUGUAUAUGAUUUUAUACUUUCUGCUGCGUAGGCUUCUGCUGUAUGUUUUGUUAUAUCCCUGGUGCCCACGAGUUCAGGUGGAUUGUGACCUGCUAAGUUGGAAUGUAUGAUGUGAUGAUAAUUUAUUUAUAUAAAAAAAAAAUAUAUGUGAAAAAGGAGCAGGUCGUGACAGUUUUUCCUGCGCCCUCCACUUGCUCUCCGUCUCCAUCUCUCCUUCUCUCAAUUUCUCGGCAAGUAUGCGGCGGAUUGGAAAACGGAAAGUGUCGUUGGAUUCCUAGUUCUAUUGCCGACAUUUCUAUUGGAGUAGAUUUUUCAUGGGAAUGGUUUAGGCAUUGCUCCUCUGGAAAGGUCCUUCAGGUGAAAGAGCUUAGAAAGCUCAGGUGUGGGGUUUAGUUUUGUGAGUGCUUAAAGGAACAGAUAUAUGUUGAGUGUUAUGUUUAAUUUCUUUCCUAGAUAUGUAAUAUGGAGAAUUUGGUUACACUACUUUAUGGGUUUGUUUAUUUGUUUAUAGUACUCAGGUAUUUUAUUUGAAGU